GCACAGUGGCGGAAUGGUAGACGCGGCGAGGCAGCAGAUUUAUUCUGAGAGGCUCCGGCUAAAACAAAAGUUGGUCCAGGGUUCGAUUCCCUGGCUGUGCA
Molecule: transfer RNA, 101 nt
Filed under: Deltaproteobacteria bacterium
Lineage: Bacteria; Pseudomonadati; Myxococcota; Myxococcia
Also listed under: 3 other names
Description: tRNA-OTHER
Source: RNAcentral